UUAGGUCGUCCCGUAGGAGAAAUAUGGAUUCAACAGUGGAUACGUUUGGAAGUAAUAAAUAAAGGUUUGCGGCGUGGUACAUGCCUCUCUCCAUCUCAGUCUCAGGAUUCUCCAGGAUAAACGUUGCUGUGGCUAUUUGUUUUUCAAUUCUAUAUGGCCCCUCGUAAAUUGCGAAGAAUUUGGCUAUUUUUUUAUUUACAGGGUCGCUAACGUUGCACGCUUUGGCUAAAACUAAA
This is a long non-coding RNA of Venturia canescens, 236 nucleotides long. RefSeq lists it as uncharacterized. The transcript has 3 exons. NCBI's taxonomy places the organism in Eukaryota, Metazoa, Arthropoda, Insecta, Hymenoptera, Ichneumonidae. The record is from RefSeq and is a predicted model, not a curated record.